ACAGAGGGUGCGAGCGUUGUCCGGAAUUACUGGGCGUAAAGGGCGCGUAGGCGGUUCGGUAAGUAGGAGGUGAAAUUUCGGGGCUCAACCCCGAAACUGCCUUCUAAACUGCCGAACUGGAGCACGGUAGAGGCAGAUGGAAUUCCCGGUGUAGCGGUGGAAUGCGUAGAGAUCGGGAAGAACACCAGUGGCGAAGGCGGUCUGCUGGGCCGUUGCUGACGCUGAGGCGCGACAGCGUGGGGAGCAAACAGGAUUAGAUACCCUGGUAGUCCACGCCGUAAACGAUGGGCACUAGGCGUCGGGGGGAGCGACCCUCCCGGUGCCGUCGCUAACGCAGUAAGUGCCCCGCCUGGGGAGUACGGCCGCAAGGCUG
This 373-nucleotide ribosomal RNA is filed under the name uncultured bacterium. Its description in RNAcentral is "bacterial SSU rRNA". It matches the Rfam family "Bacterial small subunit ribosomal RNA", at positions 525 to 896 of the family's 1533-position model. The record is from RNAcentral.